Molecule: long non-coding RNA, 471 nt
Organism: Agrilus planipennis (emerald ash borer)
Lineage: Eukaryota; Metazoa; Arthropoda; Insecta; Coleoptera; Buprestidae
Exons: 2
Source: RefSeq, a predicted model, not a curated record
UUUAAUUUUUUAUUGGAACUGAUGCAAUUAGUUAAAAAUAAGUUUUAGUAGCUUUGGAAUAGAAAUAUAUUUGACGGAUAAUUCAAAAUUCAAAAAUAGGUACAUAUGUUGAGGAAGUAUUAGGAUUUCUCUUACUUUCAUACAGUUCCACAAGGCAACCAAAAACUAUUUAUAGUUUUAGUUUAUAUUCUUAUAAACAUUUAGUUACAUGAAAAUCCAAUGGUGUUCUAAAUAAAACACUAAAAGCUAAAAUUCUACAUAGGAGCGUUUAAAAUUUUCUUGUUUCGACACCCAAGGUGUCAUAGUAAAAGACUGACUAGUUUUCGUGUGGAAUUUGGAGCUUUACUGUUCUAUUUAACAUUUUGUUAAUGACAAAUGAAUAGUUUAUCUAUCAGACUGUAGUUUUCUCCUUUUUAAUUAAUUUUACUGUGUAAUCGAUGCAAUCAUUUAAUAAUAAAGAGUUUUAUUAUC